CUGCAAGACACGUUGAGGAGGUAAUUUAGCCAUUUGAAUCAGCUGUGUUGGAUCAAGGACACAUCUAAAACCUGCAGGACACCGGCCCUGGAGGCCUGGAGUUCGACACCUGUGUCCUAGAGCCUUGCCGGUAGCAUGGCUAAAACCUGAAAUCCGACAGCAGACAGUAGACGGCGGGAGCCAGUGGCCUCAGAAAACAGCUUGUUCUCAUAGCCCUGUGCAUGCCACGAGGAAAGACGAGCAUAGGGAGAAGAAAGUGGAUCAGCUGCCUAUGAAGGUUCACAUUGUGGGAAGAUAGAAGAGAUCAAAUGUUUGAAAAACACGCUCUAAUUUUGUCAUACACUAUCAACAUGAAGUUGGCAAAACUCUCACUUAUGUGAUUAUUUUUCAAUACUCCUAAAUUAUUCCCUACCAGCUCCUGCUCCAGUUAUAACGAGGCCUGCCUGUAUUUUGUAUUCUGUGAACAUUGGUUAUGCACAUCUGUUAUCAGUUGCUCAUCAAAUUCAUCAUUCAUGCUUGGUACCGUGUUAUUGAUCUUAUUCCAUCAGCCUUUGUCAGUAGUCUGCUUGACGGUGGAUAUUAAACACAGCUACUACGUUUUCAAUUGAAUCAGUGGUGUGCUGCUAAGAGACGUUGGGAAGUGCUUUUCAAGUAAAAUGAAACAUUCAUUAAAUCUGUGUUGUGUUUUAUCCGCUACUCCAAUUCUAAUUUCCUGGUCUGUGGUUUGCCCACAGAAAUUUCCUGGCCCAAACUUGUUUUAUUUUUCUUUUUGUAGUUCAGGUGCAUCAAAAAAAAAGAGAGGAUUAGGUAUAAGUAGAUAAAAUGGUAAAUGAAGAUGUGUUGAAAACCCCUCAUUUUUGUUUAUUUUUGUCAGAGGCUUUAUUCCAAGUUUGAGCUGCAGAUCACAAACUUCUGUUAUGAAUUACAAUUUAAUUUUCUCUGAGGUAAAACAAUUACUUCCAGACAAUACACAGCUGAGAUUAUUAAAUUACUUUGAGGCUGAAGGAGGAUGGGAGUCAUGAAAGUGUGGGUGGGAUAGAAAGAGAUGUGAGAAGAUGAAUUUAGCAGCCCGGGCAGGGAACCAGAGGCGACGUCAGAAAAAGAGAAGAAUCCAGUUAGGUCGGACGAAUAAGAGAGCAACAAGGCCAGGAUGUCAGCUGGUCCUGCUCUGUUUGAGCCCCUGAUUUUGUUUGUGAACUGUAAUGUCUUCACCUCUAAUCUCAUUCACAAGGUUUUCCUUCCUGUCACAUCUCUGAGAGCUUGUUUAAAAAAAGUAAGCUACUUACUUACACAAGUAAUUUCAGUCUUACUUGUGUAAAGAUUUUCCUCUUAAUAAAUGAACUUCUGUAUUUACUUGGAUUAUAUUCAUCUAAUAUUCAAUUUGUUUGAUGAUCUGAAACAUGUAAGUGUGGC
This is a long non-coding RNA of Oreochromis aureus, 1413 nucleotides long. The record is from Ensembl. NCBI's taxonomy places the organism in Eukaryota, Metazoa, Chordata, Actinopteri, Cichliformes, Cichlidae.